GAUGAACGCUGGCGGCGUGCUUAACACAUGCAAGUCGAACGGUGAAGGCGGAGCUUGCUCUGCUGGAUCAGUGCCGAACGGGUGAGUAACACGUGAGCAAUCUGCCCCUGACUCUGGGAUAAGCGCUGGAAACGCCGUCUCAUACUGGAUACGAGCUUCGAAGCCAUCUUCAUCAGCUGGAAAGAACUUCGGUCUUGGAUGAUCUCGCUGCCUAUCCGCUUGUUGGUCAGGUAACGGCUGACCAAGCCUUCGACGGGUAGGCUGCCUGGGCGGGUGGACGGCCACAAUGGGACUGAGACACGGAGCAGAAGCCUACGGGAGGCAGCAGGGGGGAAUAUUGCACAAUGGGGGAAAGCCAGAUGCAGCAGCGCCGCGUGAGGGAAGACGGGCUUCGGGUUGUAAACCUCUGUUAGCAGGGAAGAAGCGAAAGUGACGGUACCUGAAGAAAAAGCGCCGGCUAACUACGUG
RNAcentral lists this ribosomal RNA (468 nucleotides) under uncultured bacterium. Its description in RNAcentral is "partial 16S ribosomal RNA". It matches the Rfam family "Bacterial small subunit ribosomal RNA", at positions 28 to 507 of the family's 1533-position model. The record is from RNAcentral.